ACUCCGGUUGAUCCUGCCGGACCCCACUGCUAUCGGGAUGGGACUAAGACAUGCUAGUCGUGCGCUUCCAAGCCACGGUGGAGGCGCGGCGCACAGCUCAGUAACACGUGGCUAAC
Molecule: ribosomal RNA, 116 nt
Filed under: Candidatus Bathyarchaeota archaeon
Lineage: Archaea; Thermoproteati; Candidatus Bathyarchaeota
Description: partial 16S ribosomal RNA
Rfam family: Archaeal small subunit ribosomal RNA
Source: RNAcentral